This 253-nucleotide ribosomal RNA is filed under the name uncultured bacterium. RNAcentral's name for it is "partial 16S ribosomal RNA". It matches the Rfam family "Bacterial small subunit ribosomal RNA", at positions 524 to 776 of the family's 1533-position model. The record is from RNAcentral.
UACGUAGGGGGCAAGCGUUGUCCGGAAUUAUUGGGCGUAAAGGGCUCGUAGGCGGUCUGUCGCGUCGGGAGUGAAAACUCAGGGCUUAACCCUGAGCCUGCUUCCGAUACGGGCAGACUAGAGGUAUGCAGGGGAGAACGGAAUUCCUGGUGUAGCGGUGGAAUGCGCAGAUAUCAGGAGGAACACCAGUGGCGAAGGCGGCGACCUGGGCCAAUAUUGACGCUGAGGUGCGAAAGCGUGGGGAGCAAACAGG